Paramuricea clavata is the source of this 3548-nucleotide non-coding RNA. NCBI's taxonomy places the organism in Eukaryota, Metazoa, Cnidaria, Anthozoa, Malacalcyonacea, Plexauridae. The record is from the annotation of a GenBank genome assembly.
UUUUACAUUUUUGUGAAAAAUUUUAUAAUAUAUCAUAAUGGAAUUAAAGGCAAUUUAAAUGGCAAAUAUCGAUGGGAAAAGCAUCAGAAAGUCCUUAAAAUGUUGUUCAGAUACCACAGGUAAGAAUAAUUGUAUAUUUGACUUGUUAUUUAAACAUAUUCAUUGCGAAAUAAUGUAGUGAUUAUGACUGUUUACUUGAGCGAAGUGUGGAAAUAUUCCAUUGAAUGUUUGAAUUUGCCGCGUUCGUUUUGCAUAUAAAACAUGCAAAUGUUGCUUUCAGGCAAGGGACGAAAGAUUAAAAUAUAAAUUCAAAUCUAUUGUUGUGAAUUCCGUACUAAUUUACGCACUAAUAUGAACAAUUUGACAAUAUUAAAUUGCCUUUGACAUUGGCACUUUGCUAGACCUUUGUCAAGACUCAAGGCUGUAUAGUGAUAUGAAAUAAGAUAUUAUACAUACGGAUGUUUUUGAAGAUCUGUUAGCAUUUUAAUACAGGUACUUGAAUAAGGAUUGGAAUUACAGGAGAAUGACAUCAUUUAAUCUGAUAUUUUCAGUGUAUAGAUAGCUGAAUAACUGAAUUGCAUCCUACUUUAUUGUUUACUCUGUCUAAUGCCAGAGGAUUUUCCUACUUGCCUUGCCGGAUAACUUGGCUACUGUAGAGAAUGUUUAGUUUUCCCGACUUACUAUACUUCACCUGGGAAACUCUGCAAUCCUAGAUAGAAUGUAUAUGCUUUUCAUUUAAAAUAAUAGCCCAAAAGUACAUACAAAUCAUUAGGUAUGUUUAUAGCUUUCCUCUAUUUCUAGCAGCUUAUUCAAGAUUGCAUAUUUUGUAAUCAUGUUUUUUAAACCUUUUGAAUGAUCCAAAUUGUGUUUGUAUUUUGUCAUUGUGCAGCAAUCAUGGGGUAACUUGAUUUCAUAUAAAUAGACUGCUUUUUUGUCCUGCCUGAGUGAGUAACUCACCUUGCCGGACAACUCGCCUACUGAUGUACCGAUAUCCAUAUUGGUGUAUCAGUCAUCUUUGAAUUUCGUGAAAUGACAUGGAAUAUCAGUAUCGGCAAAGUAUUGGUCUUUUAUUAUCAGUUAUCAGAAUAUUGGUGAAUUUCCACAUAUCGGUGCAUCACUAAUACAGUUCAAGAUUGUGUUUAUAUGAGAAAAUGCCAUCCUGCUCGCCGGGACAAUUUUGUUAUGUUGACAUUGUUUUGACAGUUGUUAAAAAUAGCUUGCAGCUCGGCAUCUUUGAACAUUCAUCCUGGCCCAGCCUGCUUGUGAGUGUAUAUGUGGAGAAAUUUUCAUCCCGAUAAGCAACAUUGUGGCAUCAGAGCCAGUCUGCUUGUGGAUCCAUAUAUUAAACACAUGAUAAUUUUUUCUAAAUAAAUAUACUUAAUGCAGUAAGAUCUCGCUUACCGGGCUGUCCCGCUAAGCGGUCCAGCCUAGCUUCCAUAAAUACAGCUGGUAAGAACCAUGAACAGCAACCGGAAGUAAACUAUACUGUCAGUAACUGUGUGAUAUGGUAUUGGACAAAUUAUUACAUUUCUUAAUAUUGCAGCUUUGGUGCAUGACUAAAGGUUAAUAGUCUACUGGGCACUUGCCACAAGAAAAUGAUAACUGAAUCCAGGACAUCUGAUCUGCCUACAGCCAUGUCUCUGCUUAAUAAAAUUUAUAUAAAACAUAUGUAGUUUAAUACUCCCUCUUUCGUCUUCUACCAAUAUGAACAGGUGAUUGGCCGAUUAUAACAUUAACCCAUUGAGUUGCAUUGCACCCUGAUACACCCUACUUUAGUAUUUUACUCUGUCUAACGCCAGACGAUUUUACUUGUCAAGAGGAGAGCGCUGGCGCUUAAUGGGUUAAACAAUAAACCCUUUGUAUUAGAUAAGAAUAUUAUAUUAUAAAUAAUAUUAAAUUAAUUAUAUUAAUGAAUUAUAUUAUAAAUGAAUUAUAUUAUAAAUAAUAAGUCAUAAAAUUAAUACUGGUCUAUCUUUUUAACAUACUAUUAGACAGAUUUUCAUAUUUUUACUGGGGUAGUGCCAGAAAUUUUAGGGGGGUGAGUCGUGAGCAGGUGACUGAAGCAACACAAAGUGUCACCAUACAUAUCCGAUAUCCUGCUGCUUUUAGUAACUAAUAUUGUUUGUUCGUAGGUUUGUUAGUCUGUCCAGUUGAAUGUUUGUUGUUUGUUUGAUUGUAUCCAAUUGGGCCCGCAGUAAUUGGCAAUAAGCUGUUGCGGUGUCCCGGCCACUCUGUGUAAUUUUAUGCCAGCAAAGUUAAUAAAUAAAUACCCCAGUAAGGUAUACUAUAUUCUAGAGGUGGAGCACUAGAGAUGUGAGGAGGAGUCUAGAGACCAGAAAACAAAGUAUCCCUGGAAAAAAUUUAAAAAAUCAUGAUUCCUAGCUUUGAAAAGAGUUUUUUGAAGUGGUCAUAUCAAUAGAUUUGGCAUGUCCGAUUGUCUGAUGAGACUUGGGAGAGUUAAUUAAAAGUUAAAUGAACCUGUAAAAGUGUAAACCUAAUAGGCCAAUACACAAUAUGCUUUUACCAGUUUUAUAAAGUCAUUGACAUUGUGUCGUUUGAAUCCGAAUACAUUUUAUGAUGCAACUCCGAUCUAAAUAAUAAUUGGGGCAUAAAGAUUAAAUCUAGGCAAGUCCAUUUUCUAAAAGAAUUAAAAACUAAAAAUAAUGUUUGUAAAAAAUCCAAAUGUUCCUUCCGAGCAAGCUAAGUAUUUGCAUGAGAAGGCACUGCAAACUCUAUUCAGGGGAGAUAAUAUAGUUUCAAAACUUUACAAUUGCUCCAAUAAACCAGUGAAUGCACUGUCUUUUUCUAUUUGAGUGUACUCCUACGUUUAUUUUAUAUCAUCAACACUCUGCAUGUUGGAGUGGACUAUUUAAUUAUUUUUUAUUAUGCCAAAUGUUGGGGGGUGGGGGGUGUUGAAAUAGUUUUUUGGAGGGGUGGUCAUUUUGUUUGGGGGAGGAGUUAUAGCUAAUAUUGGGGGGGGAGGAGGAUAGCGCACCCCCCUCCCCGCCCCACAAAAUCCGUCUAUGCUUUUUAAUCUAAAGAGUUAACUUAGGUUUCUGAGGAGUGACUCAGAUUAGCAAGCAAGUCUCCAGGUCUAUUGUUCUUGCAAUUUUGUAUAUAUAGCUAUUUCAAUUAAGGUUGUCCCCCAAGCAAAGCAGAAAAGUCGAAUACAAGCCCGAAAGGCUGCUGAAAAUCGCUAAUAAAUUCAUUUAUAUUUCUGUAUACACUACAUAUAAUACUUAGUUUUACUGUAGAGUGAUGAUUACAUUCUCAAUAUAUAAGUAAACUUUUCCUUUUACAGAUUACUAGCUGUAUAAGGAUGUAUAUAUGAUGGAUCUCCAGUGGCAUUUGCAUGAUGUGUUUGGAACAGUGUUUAAUGUGCAUUAUAAAGAAAUCUAUGGACUUUGAACAAACGGUUUGUCAGAUAAUAUUGCUUGUCAUGUGGAAAGAGUUGAAAAAUUACAGCUUCAGGUCUUCAGAAGAACUUAAAUUUGCUACAACACAUUGCUGUGCAAUCAGAACUACACCUAGUUGUAUAACAGUGGCUG